AUCUCACACUUGUUCGAAUUGCCAACAUUGUUUUAAAGCCUGGGGCAAUGCUAAUAUAACUAUCUCCUUUCACUAUUGGGGGAAAAUAUUCCACUUUACACCACAAGCCUAAUUUAAGUUGUAAAUUAAAUAACAUACCUUUAAAAAGUUUCAAUGACACAUAAAAGCAUCUAAUUAUUCAUAGACCACCUAAAGAAACACAAGUUUUAUUCACAGAAGCACAUUAAAUCAAAAGUACAUGCCAACACCACCAAAAUGGUUUUAUUUUUUUCAUACACAACAUAUACACACAGCAAUUUACCAUUAUUUUGUUCAGUUUCUUAAAUAUUACUUAGGUAUGCAUUAAAAAUAUAUGUUUACAUUUAAGAAAUGUGACACAUUAAAGAAGUCCGCUGUAAACAUAAUUCCUUCUCAUUAUAUUUUCCUGCUUUGUUCCAUACAUAAAUAACUUAAUCUAUAGAGUUAUAAAUAAAACUAUCAACCUCUUAUGGCCUAGAAGUAUACACAAAUUUUGGAGUCUGACAAAGUGUUCUUUUUAGGAUUUUAUAAAUAACAACAUACAGUAUUUGCAGUGCUUAUUAGCAGUCAAAUGACUUAUCAUAAGUUCUUAUUGUCUCCAAACUUGUUCUGCCAAUAAUAGACCUUCCAGUGCACUUGAUAAAAAUGCCAUGUAUAAAAGUCAAAAACGUCAAAAGCCUAGACUGAAAAAAACAAACAAAAACAGCAGAGAAGGAUGUUAUUUAAAUAUUACGAAGUUUUUUAAAAACCACUUCAGCUUGUCUGAAAAUGAAAAAUGCUACUAAAGAGUGAAUGCUUGUACCAUCAUUUAAAUGGUACUGUAUCUAACAAAAUCUAAAAUUUAAGAAAUGAUACAUAAAAUCAUAUUAAAUCUAUAUCAGUCUUGAAAAAAAAUUCCAUUUGACAUUCUGUUUCAGGGACAGAAUCAAUACUAUCCUAAAUUUUCUAAAAUUUAUUUUGGAAUCAUUACUUUGAUGAGUUAAAACUUUAAGAGUAAAAAUGAUGACCCACAAAUGAUUUUAGCCAUACAUAUAAUUCCUGAUACAAAAGAUUUGAUUAUUUAGUUUUUGCUUAAUGACUGGAAAUACUUAUUUCUUCAGAAAAUAUUAAAUAUCUGUUGAAACAAACCACCUAUUUAGCAAUUUAUUAAAUAGACCCUCAAGAUUUACUAGGUAAGCAUUCAAAUUAGUUUUAUGUAAUAAAAGUAAAAAAUUUUGCAUGUUGGCUGCUUACUUUUAUACAUUACUUUUUAAAGAAUUCAUUUAAAGGAUAUGAAAUUUAGAAAGAAAAACAUUAACUAAUAUUCUCAUUAGCUUUAACUAUUUCAAACUAUAGAUAAUACUAAGCUAAGCAAUGUCAUUUUCAUUACUUUUAAAUCUAAGUUUCUAAAAGUUUCAUUUUUCAAUCAAUACAAAAAUUAUCUGAUUCACACUAUUAACCUUCCAAACAAACUGUUUAAAAAUCUAAAUACUCUGUUAAAGAAUGGAUUACAAGAAAUGUUUUCCAUGCUCUUAUUUUAAAAAACAAAAUUCUGAUAUACAUAA
This is a long non-coding RNA of Galeopterus variegatus (Sunda flying lemur), 1562 nucleotides long. RefSeq lists it as uncharacterized. The transcript has 2 exons. Lineage: Eukaryota; Metazoa; Chordata; Mammalia; Dermoptera; Cynocephalidae. The record is from RefSeq and is a predicted model, not a curated record.